AUACGGAGGGGGCUAACGUUGUUCGGAAUCAUUGGGCGUAAAGCGCGCGUAGGCGGCUAGGUAAGUCGGGUGUGAAAUCCCGGGGCUCAACCCCGGAACUGCACUCGAUACUGCCUGGCUAGAGUCUCGGAGAGGUAGGCGGAAUUCCCGGUGUAGAGGUGAAAUUCGUAGAUAUCGGGAGGAACACCAGUGGCGAAGGCGGCCUACUGGACGAUGACUGACGCUGAGGUGCGAAAGCGUGGGGAGCAAACAGGAUUAGAUACCCCAGUAGUCC
This 274-nucleotide ribosomal RNA is filed under the name uncultured bacterium. RNAcentral's name for it is "partial 16S ribosomal RNA". It matches the Rfam family "Bacterial small subunit ribosomal RNA", at positions 523 to 796 of the family's 1533-position model. The record is from RNAcentral.